AUUGAACGCUGGCGGAAUGCUUUACACAUGCAAGUCGAGCGGCAGCGCGGCCUUCGGGCUGGCGGCGAGCGGCGAACGGGUGAGUAAUGCAUCGGAACAUGCCCAGUCGUGGGGGAUAACACUUCGAAAGAAGUGCUAAUACCGCAUACGUCCUGAGGGGGAAAGCGGGGGAUCGCAAGACCUCGCGCGAUCGGAGUGGCCGAUGUCAGAUUAGCUAGUUGGUGGGGUAAAGGCCUACCAAGGCGACGAUCUGUAGCUGGUCUGAGAGGAUGAUCAGCCACACUGGGACUGAGACACGGCCCAGACUCCUACGGGAGGCAGCAGUGGGGAAUUUUGGACAAUGGGGGCAACCCUGAUCCAGCCAUUCCGCGUGAGUGAAGAAGGCCUUCGGGUUGUAAAGCUCUUUCGGCAGGAACGAAACGGUGGGCUCUAACAUAGUCCGCUAAUGACGGUACCUGAAGAAGAAGCACCGGCUAACUACGUG
RNAcentral lists this ribosomal RNA (484 nucleotides) under uncultured bacterium. RNAcentral describes it as "partial 16S ribosomal RNA". It matches the Rfam family "Bacterial small subunit ribosomal RNA", at positions 29 to 507 of the family's 1533-position model. The record is from RNAcentral.